AGCAGCCGCGGUAAUUCCAGCUCCAAUAGCGUAUAUUAAAGUUGUUGCAGUUAAAAAGCUCGUAGUUGAAUUUCGGGAUCUGUCUAUCGGUCGGGCUUUAUUGUCCGCACUGGUUUGAUGGAUUCUUACCUUCUGAAUAACCAUCAUGCCAUUAAUUUGGUGCGUUGGGGAAGCAGAGCUAUUACCUUGAAAAAUUAGAGUGCUUAAAGCAGGCUAGUGCUUGAAUAGAUUAGCAUGGAAUAAUAAAAUAGGACGGCAUGGUUCUAUUUUGUUGGUUUCUAGGAUCACCGUAAUGAUUAAUAGGGAUAGUUGGGGGCAUUAGUAUUCAAUUGUCAGAGGUGAAAUUCUUGGAUUUAUUGAAGACUAACUACUGCGAAAGCAUUUGCCAAGGAUGUUUUCAUUAAUCAAGAACGAAAGUUAGGGGAUCGAAGACGAUCAGAUACCGUCGUA
Molecule: ribosomal RNA, 450 nt
Filed under: uncultured Glomus
Lineage: Eukaryota; Fungi; Glomeromycota; Glomeromycetes; Glomerales; Glomeraceae
Description: SSU rRNA
Rfam family: Eukaryotic small subunit ribosomal RNA
Source: RNAcentral